CCCGACCAGCUCGCUCUCGUUCUGCCUUAAGACUAGCGAAAACACGCACAGGAUUCUUGGUGAGAUAAGAUUAGAGAGCAAGAUCGAUCGAGAUGGCCGCGCGCAGCAGCUGCAUGGUGGCCGUGCUCGUGCUCCUCCUGUUGGCGCUCCUCGCGUCGCCUCCGCGCGCCGCGGCGGCAAGGGUGCUGCUGCCAGCCGACGUCGUGCCACGCGCCGGCGGCGGCGAGGCGCCGGGCAACGACGAUCAAAUGGAUGGCUCGGCGGCGGCGGCCGGGAGCGGGUUCCGAGGAUCGCCGCCGGGGUUCGGCGGCAGGAGGACGGCGGCGGCUGGCAAUGCCGCGCGGGUGUUGGGGUCCGUCCCGAGCCCCGGGGUCGGCCACUAGCUACCUGCUUUCUCACACGCCUGCGCAUACAGAUUAUUAUCGUCGUCGACAUGAUUUUCAGUAGCCCCGUGUAUGUUGUUGAUGGAUUGGGUUUCCGUGUGUGUUCUUCGAGUGAUUGGAGGUUGAGUACGAUAUAUAGGAAGGAAGUUUUGUAGGUCCAUGCGUGCGCUAGACGGUCGAGCUACUAGCUAGCAGAUGUUGUCGUACGCCACGUCUCGUUUCUACCACUUGUUGCGUCGUCUUUGCUUAGCUUCUUGCUGCUAGGUUGGGAACUUGGGAUGGAUGGUGUUGUUGUCUGCUUGUGCCUGCUUGUACAUAGCAAUUCCAUUCAUUGAUUACUACGUCAGUACCACUUGAUUCAUCACCUUUUGUUCAUACAUGCAUCAGCUCUAAACCAUACAGGGAAGAAUCCGAUUUGAUCCGGAUCCAUCAGUAGCAUGAAUCCGUCUUAAGCUCUCUGUGGUGGAUAAAACCUUGGAACAAGUUGAUUUUCCUUUCUAGUUUUGGAGGUAGUAAGCCGAAAGUGUCUUUUAGAAUUGCAGUAGCGAAAUCAUAGCUAAAGUAGUAUUGUAGUAGUAAACAUUCACCUCUAACUGCCCAAGUUUAUGGACGGUGUGAUAGAACACAAAAAAUGGCCUCUUGUCCCUCUUUUUCCAAAAGCUAGAUUUAAUCUCUUUUUUUUUUUUGUCGCGGAAUGGACCUCAAGUUCGUCUAUUUAUUUAUAUAUGCUGUGAUACAAUUUCUUCUCAUUGUGGACACAUUCUAUACAAGAAAGAACUGAAUCCAAAGAACGAGCUCAAACCUGAAUCCAACGCAUGAAUACCUUAUAUAUGUUCUAAAUUAAAUGGAAAAUUAUGUGUAGAAAUACGUUGGGUAUUAGGGUCAGUUUCCUGUUGUAUUCUACUCCCUCCGUCC
RNAcentral lists this long non-coding RNA (1298 nucleotides) under Setaria viridis. RNAcentral describes it as "long non-coding RNA (SVIR_LNC003926)". The record is from RNAcentral. Lineage: Eukaryota; Viridiplantae; Streptophyta; Magnoliopsida; Poales; Poaceae.